RNAcentral lists this ribosomal RNA (363 nucleotides) under uncultured Enterobacter sp. Its description in RNAcentral is "bacterial SSU rRNA". It matches the Rfam family "Bacterial small subunit ribosomal RNA", at positions 30 to 387 of the family's 1533-position model. Lineage: Bacteria; Pseudomonadati; Pseudomonadota; Gammaproteobacteria; Enterobacterales; Enterobacteriaceae. The record is from RNAcentral.
AUUGAACGCUGGCGGCAGGCCUAACACAUGCAAGUCGAACGGUAACAGGAAGCAGCUUGCUGCUUCGCUGACGAGUGGCGGACGGGUGAGUAAUGUCUGGGAAACUGCCUGAUGGAGGGGGAUAACUACUGGAAACGGUAGCUAAUACCGCAUAACGUCGCAAGACCAAAGAGGGGGACCUUCGGGCCUCUUGCCAUCGGAUGUGCCCAGAUGGGAUUAGCUAGUAGGUGGGGUGACGGCUCACCUAGGCGACGAUCCCUAGCUGGUCUGAGAGGAUGACCAGCCACACUGGAACUGAGACACGGUCCAGACUCCUACGGGAGGCAGCAGUGGGGAAUAUUGCACAAUGGGCGCAAGCCUGAU